RNAcentral lists this ribosomal RNA (123 nucleotides) under Neodangemannia microcystis. Lineage: Eukaryota; Viridiplantae; Chlorophyta; Ulvophyceae; Oltmannsiellopsidales; Oltmannsiellopsidaceae. The record is from RNAcentral.
AGUCCUGGUGCGCUCGCUAUAUUAAACCCACGCUGUUACCUUCCCGAAUACAGCCGUUAAGUAAUAUAGGGCGAAAAAUAGUUGAGGGCAGGCCCUCCGCAAAAACAAGCUCGUGCCAGGGCA